This 1354-nucleotide long non-coding RNA is filed under the name Anser brachyrhynchus (Pink-footed goose). RNAcentral describes it as "lncRNA (ENSABRG00000020936.1)". The record is from RNAcentral. Lineage: Eukaryota; Metazoa; Chordata; Aves; Anseriformes; Anatidae.
AUGUCCUCUCCCAAGCAGCCCAGGAGAACAGGGAAUGGGGGCUGUGGUCAGUCUAUAGCACUCCAUCUCUGCCGUUCCUUCACGGUCACUCUCUGCCCCUGCUCCACGUGGGGUCCCUCCCAUGGGCAGCAGCUCUUCAAGAACUGCUCCCACACGGCUCCGUACCACGGGGUCCAUCCCCCAGGAGCAAACUGCUCCAGCACGGGUCCCCCACAGGCGGCAGCUCCCCCCAGACCCCCUGCUCCUGCGUGGGCUCCUCUCCACGGGCUGCAGCUCCGGCCCGGGGCCUGCUCCUGCGGGGGCUCUCCAUGGGCCGCAGCCUCCUCCAGGCCACAUCCACCUGCUCCACCGGGGGCUCCUCCACGGGCUGCAGCGUGGAGAUCUGCUCCGUGUGGGACCCAUGGGCUGCAGGGGGACAGCCUGCUCCGCCAGGGGCCUCUCCGCAGGCCGCAGGGGAACUGCUGCUGCCUGCCUGGAGCACCUCCUGCCCUCCUGCUGCACUCACCUUGGGGGCUGCAGGGCUGUUCCUCACUCCUCUCUCUCCCAGCUGCUGUUCCAGCAUUUUAUUUUUUUUUUCUUCCUUUCUUAAAUAUGCCCUCAGAAAGGCACAGACAACAUCACUUAUUGGCUCGGCUCUGGCCAGCAGCAGGGCCCUUAUCUAACAUGGAGCAGCUUCUGGAUUCUUCUCAGAGAAGCCAUCUUUAUUGCUCUCCGCUACCAAAACUUUGCCACGUAAACUCACUACAACUCCAUGGAAAUAGUAAAACUGAUGUGAAACUAAAAUACAGUCACAUGAUCACAGCACAAGUAGCAGGCUGGGAAGCUAACCAGGUAUUGUCAAUGCAGCAUCGCCUUGCAGCUGGGAACAGACUUGAUGAGCUGAUUCCUGGUGACACAGCUUUUAAAAUACAGCAGAUAAUGUGAGCUUGUUGGACUAAGACUACAAGCAGUUGAUGCUGUAUAUGGUGAGGUGGUGAGAGGUUUAACGCUCCUCCAGCUCCAGCCCUACCUCCAGUUCCAGCUCCAGAUCAGAACAGGAUUAAAAUUCAGCAGCAUGCAAUCUCAGUGGUUUGUUUCAAAAUAUUUAGGUUUUUUGCAAUGAAUAUAUCACGUGUGCUUGGAGUUAUCAAGGCCUACAACACAGUUAAUCAUUCAUUACAUACAUUUUAUGAAAAUCAGAGCCCAAUUCAUGAUAUUUUGUAAACGGUGUAAAGAAGUAAUGGCAAAUUGUUUCUAAUGGUCUUCCUGACCUUGCCUCACUCUGAGCUGGGAUAAACUGACAUGAAGAUCUGUGUUCCUACAUGUUUCAUUAAAAAAAAAGAUUUUCAAAUGCAAAAUUAAUUGCUGUGUCACU